AUUCCGUAAUGAGGGCACUUUCGUAAUAACUCUUUGAAUCUUUCCCAUGCCUCAUACAAGGACUCAUCAUCCAUUUGUUGGAAAGCAGUAAUCUCAUUUCUCAGCUU
Molecule: small nucleolar RNA, 107 nt
Filed under: Gossypium hirsutum (cotton)
Lineage: Eukaryota; Viridiplantae; Streptophyta; Magnoliopsida; Malvales; Malvaceae
Description: Plant small nucleolar RNA R71
Rfam family: Plant small nucleolar RNA R71
About the family: R71 is a member of the C/D box family of snoRNAs containing the C (UGAUGA) and D (CUGA) box motifs. Multiple nearly identical copies of this snoRNA have been identified in Arabidopsis, and it is thought to function as a 2'-O-ribose methylation guide for 18S ribosomal RNA.
Source: Rfam by way of RNAcentral